UUCACAAUGUGAUCUUAUUUCUGUUCCUGAAAAGUUGUUUUCAGUGUAUUUUCUCCUUGAAAUCGAUCACUUCAGGUACUAUUACUGUGCAUACCUAGCUAAAUUAGUGUCUAGUUUCGUCUCUGAUGACAUUUAUUUCGUAAAAAUCGCUGUUUUUUUCUAAAAAGGUGUUUUUGUGGUCAUUUUGGCUGUUUAUUUCGAGGGUACGGUAGGAGGUCAUCGUUCACUCGAUAACUCUUUUUAAAAUGAAAUAAAAGCGUUUUAAGAUACAUGAUAUGAAUUGAUAUUAAUAUUCGUUAAGUGGGAUUGUCGGUGGACGUUCAUUGUUGAACAGUUGUGCUGGAAUUACGAAAAUAUAUCGAUAUCGUUGAGAGUUCAUUCAUUAGGGGCCUGUUCUCAAUUUUCCUUACAACGCCUCUAGCACUGGGCAAUUGCCACCAUCUUGAAAAGCAGUGCCGCGGAUGGCUAUCGCAUCGCCACUACGCAUGAGAACACGAUGGCUGCCCUGCGCUGCAUUGAUAGUUCGUAAUAAAUUCACAUAAAAACACACCAGAAGAUCUCCGAUUUUAUUUACAAAGAUCAUAUUUUGUUAUUUAUUGAUAAAACAAGCCAUUUUACCACAGCAGGUGACACAUAUUAGGCCUGAAUAAGACUUUAGAAUUUGAAGUGGUGGUGACGAUGCCGAUAUCCAAGAUGGCGGAAUUAUACCAGUGGUCAAAUCUCAUCUAUUUUGGGUAAUUGCAUCAUUAUUUCUUUUUGUGAUUGGUGAUUUGUAAAAUUGAGAAUGAUUGAAAAAUCAGUAUUUUUUCACCCAAAGGCAUGAGUGAACAUUUGAUAAGUUUAUUGUGAUUUAAUUGGUAAUUUGGUCGACAUUUUGACAAUUAUAUUUAGCAAUAUUUCGAUAAAUGCGGACCUGCUUCUUCCUCUUUUCGUAGUGGCGGUGUUUCGAUAACUCAGUUAGACUUCGAGAUCUACAUUUUCGACAAAGGCCUGGUGUAUAAAUAUUACGUACUUGAUGAAGGUUUAAUGACACGAAUGAGUACAAGUACAUUACAUAUUUUCGACGAAGGCCUUCUGUAAUUUCAUACGCUUCUUACGCAACAUUCAAUAGAUUUAUUUACUGUAUUAUCAUUUCGACCAAGGCGAAUUCGACACUUCAAUUGACAAGGUUAGUAACUUUUGUUCACAAAAUCCAAAUGGAGGCAAAUACAGAACAAUCAAACUUAGUCAUUCAAGUCAGUUACUGAAGCACAGUGAAAACUGUCGGGAGCAGUGCAACUGAUGGCAUGUCAAACUUCCUGUGACUGUCCCUGUCCAUAUAUUUCAAGACAGUACAAAUCUUGUAAUCAUUUUGUUUAUGCAAUGUACGUUAUUAUGUAUCAUUUCAGCACAAUCAAACUUAGUCAUUCCAGUCAGUUACUGAAGCACAGCGAAAACUGUCUGAAUUAGUGCUGCUGAUGGCAUGUAAUUACUCUACUACCACUACCAGUGACAGUCAAUGUCCAUAUAUUUUCAAGUGUGCGAAAUUAGUACUCGUCUACUUCUUAGUGUUAUUUGAAUGCAAUGUAUGUUAUAAAAAUAUUUUUUCAACACUAUAUCAACAUUCUCAUUCCUGUCAGUUUCUGAAAAUCAGCUAAAGCAAUCGCUACCAAUGCAGCUGAUAACAGCAAUUCUUUUUGUUCCCAAUGCCCAUCCAUGACAAUAUAUUUCACGCAUGUGACAAUCAUGUAAUCAUCCUGUUUUUUGUGUUCUAUUCAUGCAAUAAAUAAAUUCAGUAUUUUCAAAUCAUUGGUGCUACAAAACUAUUCUCAUUAUAGAUUAUUCAUAUUUUAUAAAAUGCUGUCAUGUCAAAUUUUGUGUCCUAUAAAUCAUUAUGAAGUCGGCAUUUUAUAUACAACUUUUGUACUCCUCCUAAAUAAACAUACAAAUCUUGUUUUAUGUAAACUUUGUAUAUGUGACCCGUCACAGCAAAACCAGACGCAUGUCGCUCUGAGCUUGGCAGGUUGAGACGGACUGUUUGUUCAUUUAUCUAUUGUCUGCCUUUUGUAAAAUAUGAGCACAUCAAUUUCUUCCAUUAUCUCCUGGUGUCAUUUAGGCUCAUCUUCUGUGCGACAUGUACCUGGUUUUGCUGUGACGGGUCACAUAUUCUAUAGAUAUACAACACUCUAAUGUCACAAUGCCUCUCUCACUCGCUUUUAUAUAGCAAGAUGUAUGAAUAAACAUGACACACCAACUAUGUACAAAAUUGCUAACAAACUGCACCAUUUGUCAGUACACCACAUGAAAUACAGAGAUAUGUCUUAAUUCUAAUCUUUCAUUAGCGACACCAUUUCUUACCCGAGUGCCUCCUUCAUUCAUACAUCUUGUACUUUAACUCAAGAUACCCAUCUUUGAAUAUUUUUAGUAUACCAAGUACUACAAUGUCAAUGUAUUGAAGUCAUGUUCUUGUAGUGUUAUUGGCUUUCUAUUAUCUUGUCAAAAUACCACUUGGUUCUCGCAAAAUCUCAAUAAAAACAAAUGCUAUUGCAUGUAUUGCAUAUUCUGACAGCUAUCCACUGUAUCGAUUUAUCCAUCAUCUGUACUAUUUGUCACAAAAAUGUUAUAUUAUGUAAAUCAUAUUUCAUUACAUAAUGCACACUGCCAAUUACUGCUGAACCAUUCAU
Lineus longissimus is the source of this 2663-nucleotide long non-coding RNA. RefSeq lists it as uncharacterized. The record is from RefSeq and is a predicted model, not a curated record. The transcript is spliced from 4 exons. NCBI's taxonomy places the organism in Eukaryota, Metazoa, Nemertea, Pilidiophora, Heteronemertea, Lineidae.